UUGUCUGGCCCUGCCGACCCACGACCCACGACCCACUGACCCACGAAUCAGCCCGGCCGUCGUGUGCACCAUGUCUGGCUCCUCCAGUGUCGCCGCUAUGAAGAAAGUGGUUCAACAGCUCCAACUGGAGGCCAGGCUCAACUGCGUAAAAGUUUCCCAGGCAGCUGCAGACUUGAAACAAUUCUGUCUGCAGAAUGCUCAACAUGACCCUUUGCUGACUAGAGCAUCUUCAAGUACAAAUCCCUUCAGACCCCAGAAAGUCUGUUCCUUUUUGUAGUAAAAUGAAUCUUUCAAAGGUUUCCCAAACCACUCCUUAUGAUCCAGUGAAUAUUCAAGAGAGCUACAUUUGAAGCCUGUGCAAAAGCUUAUCCCUGUAACACAUGUGCCAUAAUAUACAAACUUCUACUUUUGUCACUCCUUAACAUCUACCUCUCUGAAUUUUCAUGAAUUUCUAUUUCACAAGGGUAACUGCUUUAUAUACACUGGCAGCAGCAUACAAUAAAACUUAGUAUGAAAAAAA
This is an RNA transcript of Mandrillus leucophaeus (drill), 520 nucleotides long. It is a transcript of the gene named guanine nucleotide-binding protein G(I)/G(S)/G(O) subunit gamma-5 pseudogene, with no coding region annotated. Lineage: Eukaryota; Metazoa; Chordata; Mammalia; Primates; Cercopithecidae. The record is from RefSeq and is a predicted model, not a curated record. The transcript has a single exon.